GAAACCUAGUGAGUCUCUCAUCUAGCUAUUAUCUAAUCACGGAAUACCGUGCAUGAUUUUCAUCGCAGGAAGUGCCAAGCUUAUUGGCUUUUUCUUUUCAGUUGAUCGGGAGCUCAGCUUUCCGCUCUCGCUUCAAUUGUAAAUCGGAGAACGGAACCUGCAAAUGCCACCUCGAGCUGGCACCACACAGCCGUGGUGGUCUUUAGGUCAGCUCUUCUUCACCAUCUCUCGUCGCUUCUCUGCUAGGCUGAAUUUCUCCUUCUUAUCUGAAGCCAAGGUGUUGAAUCAUUUGGAUGACGAGUGUGAAGAUUUCUUGCCAUGGUUAGAGAGGAAAGCUGGUGUCCACGUUUCAUCCAAACUUUACAUUGGGAAAUCCUCCUACGGCAGGUUGUUUAGAAACUCCUUUCCCCCCUCCCCCCUUUUGAGUUUAAUUCUGAUUUUCAAAUGAAACCCUAAUAGGAAGUGGUAAGUGAAAUGGAGCUUAAUGUUUACUUGGUUGAAUUGGGACUCAUUAUUUCAUUGGGUCGGAGUUAGAAGUAAAGAGCUUAGAGUGCUAAAUUAUUGCAUUCCUUCCUAUAUCAGUUCUACCAUGCUAUACUUUGAUGUCUGGUGAAGGAAUUGCCUGUGGGUUUUCUAACAGUUUGGGAAGUUUGUGCAAUUACUUUGUGGACCAAUAUGACGUGUAGCUGUUUCUGGAUGUCACUUUACUGUUUAAUGCCAUGCUAUGUUCUGAACUUUUGAUGAUGAACUUCUUUGGACUGCUUCCAAAAAUGGAAGUUUUGCUCCUAUAAUGUGGGUAAUAAUGGAAGGUUUUAAGUAGUUGGUGCAUAGUAUUGACAAUGCUGAUUCAUAAGCGAAUGCCAAAUUUGGACAGAAAUUAAUUGCCUGACUUGCAGUAGGUUGGUAAAAUGAUUUCAUCUUAAAAGGCAUCAAGUUGAGAUGCCUCUCUGUUUAACCAUGUAAAAAAAUGCAAUGAUGCAUGAUAGCUCUUGUUAUAACUUCAUUUUCUUAGGCAUUUUUCUGUUUAUCUAAUUAUAUAUGUUUUUGAUGUAGGUCACUAUUUGCUUCUAAAGACAUACUAACUGGGGACUGCAUAUUGAGAGUUCCAUAUAGUGUUGUAUGUUACACUGGAUGUACUUUGUCUUCAUUAUUGUAAGAGGGUCCUGGCAUAGUUAGUUUUAUCAUAUAGUGAUUGAUUGUUCUCUUCGAUUUUUCAGCAAAUAGCGUCAGAUAAUCUACUUCCAAAAGUGUCAGCUUUACUAGAUGAUCAAGUUGGGAGUGUUAUGAAGGUUGCUAUUGUCCUCUUGGUUGAGCAAAAACUUGGCUGGGUAAACUUUAGUAUGUUGUUUUAGAAUUAUAACAAUUUUUCUUUUUAUUGAAGAAUAAUUUUGCAGUAUUUACACCUUAAGAAGAAUUCAUAUUUACCUUGUUCUUAGUAUUGUUGUUUUUAGUUUUUUGUAAUGAAAUUUGAGCAACUGUGAGGAUUUCAUGAUUUCCUUGUACUAUUAUGCCAAACCAUGCACAAGAAGGGAUCAAGACAAAAAUCAAUGAGAUGUAGAACAACUUGAAUUUCACGCAGUGCUAAACCACAUGCCUCUUUAAGCCCACAAUUGAUUAGCUGCUAUCCAGGAAAUUCCAGUGAGAGUAAGCCACAUCCCAAAAAACGUCUAGACCAAAAAUAGCACAAAGUAGAUGCUGAACUGAUUCACCAGUUUUCUUGCUUAAGUAGAAUCUGUUCAUAGUGAUCUUUCCCCUUUUUCCCUUCAUAGCAGGAAUCUGAGUGGGCGCAUUAUUUAAGUUGUCUUCCUCAGCUUGAAGAAAUGAAUAGCACGAUAUUCUGGAGCAGAAGUGAGUUGGACAUGAUUUGUCAAAGCUUUGUGUAUCAGGAAACAAUCAAUCAAAAAGCUCAAAUUGAAAAAGAUUUCUUGACAAUUAAGCCAGUAUAUAUAUUUUGUUUCUCGUUGGUGAAUCUUAAACUCAUAUGUUUCUGAUGCUGUUAAUGCGCAUGCAAGCUUUUCAUAGUAUAUCCAUUUGCUCUUAAGCAAUUCCCUCAUAUUUUAAGGAGUAUCACAUUUAAGGAUUUCAUGCAUGCAUAUGCUUUAGGUGAGCAACUUCUUUAAGAAGCAUUUGCUACUCACUGACUGUUUCUCUUUUUAAUAUAUAAUUCCCAUUUUGAAUUUGAACACUAAAAGCUCUUUGCUCGGGCCUCGUUUAUGGUUUUUUCUAGACUUUUGGUCUGAUUUUAUUUUUUUCACUUUAUUGUGUCUUGUUGGGAAUAUCAGUGAUAAGAAAAUAAAAAUGGCUAAUCAUUUUAAAGUGUUAAUGAACUGCAUCAUGGUACUAGUCCAUAAAUAAAUUGUUAACAUAUGCAUUGUAGUAAUGAUGAUAUAACCAUACUCUUUCUUGAAGCAACUGAAUCCAUAUUCUUAUGAGUAAGAAAGUUGAAAUUUCACUGAUACUUUAUUUUGCUGUUCGGAUGCUAUGACUGAUUUAAUGGUUUUAUAUCCUAUCAAGCUAUUAUUAGUAUGACACUGUUUUUGUGAAUGACAGUUAAAUCUCGAGCUUGGGGAAGCACAAAGGGAGUAUCUUUGGUAAUGCUUUUAUCAUUGUAUUUGGAUUGAAAACAUUUUUAAUAUCAGGUUCUGGUCCAAUCUCUCUUUAUACCAUAUUGCUUUGAAUUAUUAGAUUAUUCUGUAGAUUCCUUUUGCGGAUUUUCUGAACCAUGAUGGGGUUUCUGAAGCAAUUGUGUUAAAUGAUGAAGACAAACUGGUCUCUGAGGUAUACUCUUUCUUUUUCCUUGUUUAUAUUUCUUACUUUAUAUAAUUGCUGUGUCUUGCCUGUCCUUUAUUGUUUAAUGCACAUUUAUUGUUCCAGAUGAUAUUGUUGAUAACUCUGAGAGAAGUUUUAAUCGCAAAGAAUAUUUAAACUCAUUGUUCUUGUCUCCAUCGAUCUCAAAUCACGAUGUAUUUGUCUGCUUGGAGCUUUCUUUCUCUUCUACUUCUUUUUAGGUAUUGUUUGUAGGUUCCAUCUUUUGUUUAAUUCUUGAGAUCCAUAUCUGCAGGUCAUUGCCGAUCGCAAUUAUGCUGCUCAUGAAGAGGUACUGAUCAGAUAUGGAAAAUUUUCAAAUGCCACCUUGCUUUUGGACUUUGGGUUUACACUUCCAUAUAACAUCCAUGAC
Molecule: unclassified non-coding RNA, 3178 nt
Filed under: Hevea brasiliensis (rubber tree)
Lineage: Eukaryota; Viridiplantae; Streptophyta; Magnoliopsida; Malpighiales; Euphorbiaceae
Source: RNAcentral